CAGCACGCCGCGUGAGGGAUGACGGCCUUCGGGUUGUAAACCUCUUUUAGUAGGGAAGAAGCGAAAGUGACGGUACCUGCAGAAAAAGCACCGGCUAACUACGUGCCAGCAGCCGCGGUAAUACGUAGGGUGCAAGCGUUGUCCGGAAUUAUUGGGCGUAAAGAGCUCGUAGGCGGUUUGUCGCGUCUGCUGUGAAAUCCCGAGGCUCAACCUCGGGCUUGCAGUGGGUACGGGCAGACUAGAGUGCGGUAGGGGAGAUUGGAAUUCCUGGUGUAGCGGUGGAAUGCGCAGAUAUCAGGAGGAACACCGAUGGCGAAGGCAGAUCUCUGGGCCGUAACUGACGCUGAGGAGCGAAAGCGUGGGGAGCGAACAGGAUUAGAUACCCUGGUAGUCCACGCCGUAAACGUUGGGCGCUAGAUGUAGGGACCUUUCCACGGUUUCUGUGUCGUAGCUAACGCAUUAAGCGCCCCGCCUGGGGAGUACGGCCGCAAGGCUAAAACUCAAAGGAAUUGACGGGGGCCCGCACAAGCGGCGGAGCAUGCGGAUUAAUUCGAUGCAACGCGAAGAACCUUACCAAGGCUUGACAUACACCGGAAACGGCCAGAGAUGGUCGCCCCCUUGUGGUCGGUGUACAGGUGGUGCAUGGUUGUCGUCAGCUCGUGUCGUGAGAUGUUGGGUUAAGUCCCGCAACGAGCGCAACCCUCGUUCUAUGUUGCCAGCGCGUUAUGGCGGGAACUCAUAAGAGACUGCCGGGGUCAACUCGGAGAGUGUGGGGAUGACGUCGAAUCAUCAUGCCCCUUAUGUCUUGCAGCUGCACGCAUGCUACAAUGGCCAGUACAAA
RNAcentral lists this ribosomal RNA (841 nucleotides) under Curtobacterium oceanosedimentum. RNAcentral describes it as "bacterial SSU rRNA". It matches the Rfam family "Bacterial small subunit ribosomal RNA", at positions 389 to 1243 of the family's 1533-position model. The record is from RNAcentral. Lineage: Bacteria; Bacillati; Actinomycetota; Actinomycetes; Micrococcales; Microbacteriaceae.